Molecule: small nucleolar RNA, 89 nt
Organism: Tripterygium wilfordii
Lineage: Eukaryota; Viridiplantae; Streptophyta; Magnoliopsida; Celastrales; Celastraceae
Product: small nucleolar RNA snoR114
Exons: 1
Source: RefSeq, a predicted model, not a curated record
GAGCAGUGACGAAAAUUGCGCUUCUCUGUGGCAGGUAGGGUUCUGUCACCGACCGUCUGUUAACGGACGAACCAUGCGCUGCUGAGCUC